UAAGGGAUAUUGCGACAAUGGGCGAAAGCCUGACGCAGCAACGCCGCGUGGAGGAUGACGGCCUUCGGGUUGUAAACUCCUUUUACCGGGGAAGAGGAAGGACGGUACCCGGUGAAGAAGUCUCGGCUAACUACGUGCCAGCAGCCGCGGUAAAACGUAGGAGGCGAGCGUUAUCCGGAUUUACUGGGUGUAAAGCGCGAGCGGGCGGUGUGGUAAGUGGUGUGUGAAAGCGCCCGGCUCAACCGGGCGAGGACAUGCUAGACUGCCAGACUAGAGGUAGGUAGAGGCGGGUGGAAUUCCGGGUGUAGUGGUGAAAUGCGUAGAGAUCCGGAGGAACACCAGUGGCGAAGGCGACCCGCUGGGCCUGACCUGACGCUCAGACGCGAAAGCAUGGGAGCGAACGGGAUAGAAACCCGGUAGUCCAUGCCGUAAACGAUGUUGACUAGGUGUUGCGCCGUCAACGGGGCAGUGCCGCAACUAACGUGAUAAGUCAACCACCUGGGAC
RNAcentral lists this ribosomal RNA (505 nucleotides) under uncultured Chloroflexota bacterium. Its description in RNAcentral is "bacterial SSU rRNA". It matches the Rfam family "Bacterial small subunit ribosomal RNA", at positions 355 to 879 of the family's 1533-position model. The record is from RNAcentral. Lineage: Bacteria; Bacillati; Chloroflexota.